AUACGUAGGUGGCGAAGCGUUGUCCGGAUUUAUUGGGCGUAAAGCGAGCGCAGGCGGUUGCUUAGGUCUGAUGUGAAAGCCUUCGGCUUAACCGAAGAAGUGCAUCGGAAACCGGGCAACUUGAGUGCAGAAGAGGACAGUGGAACUCCAUGUGUAGCGGUGGAAUGCGUAGAUAUAUGGAAGAACACCAGUGGCGAAGGCGGCUGUCUGGUCUGUAACUGACGCUGAGGCUCGAAAGCAUGGGUAGC
RNAcentral lists this ribosomal RNA (248 nucleotides) under uncultured bacterium. RNAcentral's name for it is "partial 16S ribosomal RNA". It matches the Rfam family "Bacterial small subunit ribosomal RNA", at positions 523 to 769 of the family's 1533-position model. The record is from RNAcentral.